CUACGGGUUGCAGCAGUGGGGAAUCUUGCACAAUGGGCGAAAGCCUGAUGCAGCGACGCCGCGUGGAGGAUGAAGGUCUUCGGAUUGUAAACUCCUGUUAAGUGGGAAGAAAGUAGUAUGAGUAAUAUUCAUACCAGAUGACGGUACCACUAGAGAAAGCUCCGGCUAACUUCGUGCCAGCAGCCGCGGUAAUACGAAGGGAGCGAGCGUUAUUCGGAAUUACUGGGCGUAAAGGGCGCGUAGGCGGUCUAUUAAGUCAGUUGUUAAAGACCAUGGCUUACCCAUGGAAAAGCAAUUGAUACUGGCAGACUGAGAGGACAAGAGAGAGAAGUGGAAUUCUCGGAGUAGCGGUAAUAUGCGUAGAUCUCGAGAGGAACACCGAUGGCGAAGGCAGCUUCUUGGCUUGUACCUGACGCUGAGGCGCGAAAGCGUGGGGAGCAAACAGGAUUAGAUACCCUUGUAGUC
This 465-nucleotide ribosomal RNA is filed under the name uncultured bacterium. RNAcentral's name for it is "partial 16S ribosomal RNA". It matches the Rfam family "Bacterial small subunit ribosomal RNA", at positions 339 to 795 of the family's 1533-position model. The record is from RNAcentral.